GACCAAGCUUUUUAUGCUCUGGGCUAGUAUAAUAGUAACUCUUGUUGCCAUAGAUAGAGUAGUAGCUCCUCCAACCUAUGUGCUUUCAUAGCUGUGGAGUAGCGGUCCACUUUGUUUCUUUCAGAGCUGGAGUAGAUGUUCUCGUCUCACUAGGUUAUUAUGAGAGUCCAAGAAGGUCGAUCGAUGUCGGUAGUAUGCUUGAUGCAGCCCCUUAGACGAGAGUGUAGUUCUCUGUGCCAUCCUCGUAGUGGUUUUGUGCGAGUAGUCUAGUGAACCAGAAGACCAGGCCCCAGAAGCCAUCGAGUUC
Molecule: long non-coding RNA, 307 nt
Filed under: Amborella trichopoda
Lineage: Eukaryota; Viridiplantae; Streptophyta; Magnoliopsida; Amborellales; Amborellaceae
Description: long non-coding RNA (ATRI_LNC000126)
Source: RNAcentral